This 428-nucleotide ribosomal RNA is filed under the name uncultured bacterium. Its description in RNAcentral is "bacterial SSU rRNA". It matches the Rfam family "Bacterial small subunit ribosomal RNA", at positions 33 to 507 of the family's 1533-position model. The record is from RNAcentral.
ACGCUGGCGGCAUGCCUAACACAUGCAAGUCGAACGAGACCUUCGGGUCUAGUGGCGCACGGGUGCGUAACGCGUGGGAAUCUGCCCUUUGCUUCGGAAUAACAGUUAGAAAUGACUGCUAAUACCGGAUGAUGUCUUCGGACCAAAGAUUUAUCGGCAAAGGAUGAGCCCGCGUAGGAUUAGGUAGUUGGUGGGGUAAAGGCCUACCAAGCCGACGAUCCAUAGCUGGUUUGAGAGGAUGAUCAGCCACACUGGGACUGAGACACGGCCCAGACUCCUACGGGAGGCAGCAGUGGGGGAAUCUUAGACAAUGGGGAAACCCUGAUCUAGCCAUGCCGCGUGAUCGAUGAAGGCCUUAGGGUUGUAAAGAUCUUUCAGUGGGGAAGAUAAUGACGGUACCCACAGAAGAAGCCCCGGCUAACUCCGUG